UACGUAGGGGGCAAGCGUUGUCCGGAAUCAUUGGGCGUAAAGCGCGUGUAGGCGGCUCGGUAAGUCCGCUCUGAAAGUCCAGGGCUCAACCCUGGGAUGCGGGUGGAUACUGCCGGGCUCGAGUCCGGAAGAGGCGAGUGGAAUUCCCGGUGUAGCGGUGAAAUGCGUAGAUAUCUGGAGGAACACCGGUGGCGAAGGCGGCAUCCUGGACCAACACUGACACUGAUGAGCGAAAGCCAGGGGAGCAAACGGG
RNAcentral lists this ribosomal RNA (253 nucleotides) under uncultured bacterium. RNAcentral describes it as "partial 16S ribosomal RNA". It matches the Rfam family "Bacterial small subunit ribosomal RNA", at positions 524 to 776 of the family's 1533-position model. The record is from RNAcentral.